Non-coding RNA from Xyrichtys novacula (pearly razorfish), 2589 nucleotides. The record is from the annotation of a GenBank genome assembly. Lineage: Eukaryota; Metazoa; Chordata; Actinopteri; Labriformes; Labridae.
UUGGUGGCUAGUGCUAUGGCUGGGACCCUAUAUGUACUGUUGAUGAAGUUAGGUGCUGUUCUGAGUAUUAUUUGUGGCUAUAGAGUAGUUUUUGGUUGAGGUUUGUUUGUGGCUCAUCAGAUCGCUGUGUAUUGCUUAUCCUGCGGAUGUUACUCAAGUUGGUAUAGCUAGAGAAGCAAGCGGUUGGCAACAUUCAUAGUUCGAGGGGGUGUCUAACUCAGUGUUAUGGUGUGUUUGACUCAAAUUAAUGUUACACCGGAAUAUCCCUUUAAAAUGCCUUCUCAUGACUGUGCUGCUGGGCCUGUGAUAUGCCUUUACACCAAUGUAAAUGUCACAGAAUCAUAGUUUUGCUUCUUAACUGGUAUCAGAGCCAUAGGCACGAUAGACCAGACACAGGGAACUGUCAAUGUGAAGGCCAAAGUUGGCAGUAUGGAGCAGCGCUGUUUGUGUGUGAGGAACUUGUUCUUUAGCGAAGCUGCCUGUCAACCUUGUGCAACACUGUAACAAGAGACCCUUACAUGAUGUAAUCCUCUAACUCUGCUAUAAAGAAGUCUAACAAUCAUUGCACUUCUGUACUUAAACCUUGCAGUGUGAUAUUGACCCUGCAGCAUUAGAGACAGCUUGUCGUAACACAGCAAGAGCUCCACAUAUACAAUCAGACAUGCAAAUGCAUACAGUGCUGUUCCGCCCUGCUGGCUCAUCUGUAACACAUUGCCACCAUUUUUUUUCACCACUCCUUGGCUUCAGUGUAAAAGUACAAAGGCCCAGUGACAGUGAAGCUUUAUUAUGGCACUGCAGCAGAAUCUAGAAAGGGGCUGUGAUUAAACUACCACUGUAUGGUGACAUUACAAACAAGAAAAUGUUACAAAGCUCCAUCUGAGAUGACCUUUCAUUGUUAAAAAUGGGAUAAAGUGGGCAUGAGGAUACAUUUAUUGUGGAGAAAAUAAGUAACUACUAACGGUAACUACUUUAAUGUGGAAAAUGUCCCAGUUUUCCAUAAAAGCAAAAUAAAGAUGUCACGUAAAUUUGCCAUGUUUUAGUAUCAUUUCGUUUUCACCUCAUUUUCAUACAGAUUGGUCCUGAAAUUUAUUGCGGCAUAAGUGACCGAGGAAAAUAAUCCUCAAUCGUCAGUAUAUUUGUUCUUGAUACGAGGCUUCAGCAGUCUCAAAGAGAGAGCGAGAGAUAAUUUUAACCAACAGAAAUUCAAUGUCAAACUCAGACUGAUGAAGCUUUGGGUUAGUUUUAGAUAGACUCACAAAUCUUUUUGAAAAUGCGUCAAGAAGGGCCAGUACACAAAAGGCAUGAUAAAUCCUCCUCUGUUAUUCAUGCAGGCUACGGUUAUUGUUUCAAUAAAGACAGUAAAUAAAUUCCGUGUCCAAACACACAUGAGGAGUUUUCUAUUCUGCUGUUCAUGAUGAAAAUUUACAGUAAGGCAUAUAGAGAGAUAAUCACCUUGGGAGGUAUAUUGAAAUAAACACAGUCAGUUCGAGGGAUGAAUUGCCUGUGUGUUCUGUUGAAUGGAGUCUUUAAUUAAGCAUCUGAAAUUUGCUAAGAAGAUUAAGGAUUAAGAUGUAAAUUCUUCACUGCUUAUGGCACAUAAUCCUGACAUGGAGAACAAUGCUGUACAGCAGAUGACUCCAAAUGGGUCUUGUUUACACACAUGCUAUUUUGACUAUGGGCUGAUUGAUAGCCGAUGUCAUUACAAACACGCACAGGCAUCUCAGCAGUCGCGUUUUAUUCCAUUCAUCCCAGAGAGGAAAUUAGUGAGUUGAUGCUGUCAUCAACAAUAGUAUGUUUGAUUGAUGCAUAAUUGGUUGUCAGAACCAACAUCCCAAGUGACAGUUAAUUAUAUAUUUUAGACCAUGAUCCAUCCGCUAAUGAACCAAAUCAGCAAAUGAGGAUUUAUUAAAACUUUUCAAUCCUGUAGUAUUUUUUCACAGCGUCAAAUUUAAAUACUCAAGUUUCAGUUUUGCAAAACUUGAUGCUCCUUUUCAAGAAAAAAAAAAUCAGUGUAGCAGUACUGAAUAUAGGUCUCUUGCGCUACAGUGGAAGACCUUGCAAGAAAUAAUAAAAAAGAAAGAUUAAAGAGCAGCCCACCUCACUUACUGUAUACUCAAAGGUCUGUGUGAGUCAUGUUCAGUCUGAUAAAUCCUGACCUUUGCAGAACUCACAAUGUUCCCUGGAUGCAGAGAAUUUACUGUGAUGAUGGAAAAGUUCCAUUAUGUUCAAAGAGGAAAGGUAAAUGCAUGUUCAAGGACAAAAGCAAUAUAAAUUAUAAUGAAUUAUGAAUUAUAGUACGACAGAGGAAUGUCUUAGUGGAAACACACUUUACCGUUCGUGAGUACUAUAAUGAUCACUUUCCACUGUUGCCUGGAUGACAAAGCCAGUUCAGGGGCAAGCUAUGUUUAAUGUAGAAUGGAGGGAUAUUCAGUAUUCACAUUAUAUAUAAUAUUACAGAAGUGAUCACAAAAACACCUUUACUUACUUACAAAGAGGGGGAAACGGUUUUAAAGUUCUCAUAUGACAAGUGUAUGGAUAUCUACACUCACAGAAACAGGCUAAAUUUAUAACUUAAGAAUAUGGUUUCCG